This is a non-coding RNA of Dipodomys ordii (Ord's kangaroo rat), 65 nucleotides long. The record is from Rfam. NCBI's taxonomy places the organism in Eukaryota, Metazoa, Chordata, Mammalia, Rodentia, Heteromyidae.
GGUGGCUCAGUGGUAGAGUGCUUGCCUUGCAUCCAUGAGGCCCUGAGUUCGAUUCCUCAGCACCA